CAACCAAGCCUAUUUCGCUGACUUGAUCACAAUUAGAAUCCUUGAAGUUCGAAACUAUAUGUCUCAAAGAUUGUAAAGACUAUUUCGCUGCCUUUACAAUCUUUGUCUAAAUUCACUUGUUCGAAUAUCAAAGCUCCACUUUCGUUUUAUGAAUUGAUAUUUGAGAUGAUGGAUUAACAAUUAUCAAACCCUCCACUUUCGUUUCCACAGUUUGAUAAUGGUUAAUUCAUGUUAAAACAGUGAAUUUAGAUUAGAAAUUAGGGUUACAUAAGAUUAAGGUUUAAAGCUUGGUUUGAUUAGGAUUAUGUCAUUUAGACUUAUCCAACAAUCCCAAGACAAGA
Molecule: long non-coding RNA, 341 nt
Filed under: Medicago truncatula (barrel medic)
Lineage: Eukaryota; Viridiplantae; Streptophyta; Magnoliopsida; Fabales; Fabaceae
Description: long non-coding RNA (MTRU_LNC005422)
Source: RNAcentral